GGGUACCAAAUACCACAGAAACAGUUCUGAGAAGAGUUACAAGGAAAGUUGAAAGAAAAUAGAAAGAGAGCUACGCUUAAUCCAUUGUUUUUUCAAAUAUUGUUUAUUAAGGGCCCCUCCAUAAUAGUGGCCUUGGCAACUUUCAAAGGACAAGAAGUAAAACAGUGGGUGUAGCAGAGUGACAUUAAUCUGCCAUGAUUGAGAUAUCAGUUUGGUUAGCAGGCACAAAGCAACCUUAAGCAAAAGGGCAAAGCAGCUUGAGAAAUGUUGGCUGUUAGUGCUUGGUAACAACCCGAUGGAGAAGCCCUGAAGUGGUUCAAAUCACAGACUGCCUGCUAAGUGGUCUUUGGGGAGCCUGCUCUGCAUCUAAUCCCAACGAGAGAAAUAUGAGAGGCAGCAGACUGGAGAUCAAUGUAGGUGCCUUGCUGGGGAUAUUAACUACCCCACCUUCACUUCUGGCUCCUGCAGCAUGACAACUCUAUUCCCAGAGGGCCAGAGGAUUCUGCUGGGGUCUGUAGCAAAGUCUGUUGAAAGCAGGAGAAUUGACAUUUUGCUGAUUGUCUUGACUGCUUUGACAUCUCACAAACAGUACAAAUGAUCACUUAUGUAAAGGUUAUUUGAAUAAAGGUAAGAUCCCUUGGUGUGACUUAACUGUAAAACCAUUCCAGUUCCCUUUAGAUGUCCCUCUGAGAUUUCUAGUCUCCUAAAAUGUGCAUGUACUUCUAAUUUGCCUGUAGCAUAGGAGAAGGCUGGAAUCUGAAAUCUGCAGAGUAGACUGGGCUUGCACAAUACACUGAAACUAGGCUUAUUCAAAAAGGCUCUUCCAGGGCUUUAAAGAAGACAUGAAAAAAUAUCUGAACCAUUAGUGUCUCAGGGAGCUGAGGUGGAGGCAGCCAGGGAGAUGCUGAAAUGGGUGCUCCUGCUGACAGAGUUACAGGGAAA
This is a long non-coding RNA of Passer domesticus (house sparrow), 942 nucleotides long. RefSeq lists it as uncharacterized. NCBI's taxonomy places the organism in Eukaryota, Metazoa, Chordata, Aves, Passeriformes, Passeridae. The record is from RefSeq and is a predicted model, not a curated record. The transcript is spliced from 3 exons.